UGCAAGUGUGACUAGUAUUCGC
RNAcentral lists this non-coding RNA (22 nucleotides) under Arabidopsis thaliana (thale cress). Lineage: Eukaryota; Viridiplantae; Streptophyta; Magnoliopsida; Brassicales; Brassicaceae. The record is from RNAcentral.